GGCAGGUCAAGACAAGUGCACAUAUUACUGUAGCAUUUUCCAGGUGCAUGCGUGUACCAGCACAAAUGUGCAGAGAGACAAGUUGCAAGAUCGGUGUAGCUACAGCCGGCCGGGGCAGCCGGCCGGUGCAGGCACGGCUGCUGCUACAGUGCUACUGCUCGGCCGAUAUUACUACUUGGACUGCACGGCCGGUGUGUUUGGAUGCUAGGUUUUGCCUGGAUAGAAGAUGGCCGUUCAUUUUUUGGAGGCGUUUGGUUGCUAAGCUGGUGUGGGAUAUGGCUAUCACUAGAGAAUAUUCGCAGUAGAUGCUGGAUAGAUGCAUCCAGGCGAAACGGGCGGAUGAGACGAUACAGGGGCGGGCGAGUGCAUGUGAGAGAAAAAAGUGGUGUACGCUCACCUCCUACGGUCCUCCCCCUCGUCUUCUCUUCCUCUCCUCUCCUAUUUUUUUCUCACUGGUCUAGGUCUCUGGGAGCUCUCAGCUCUAGCUUCUCCCUUCCUCUUCUCUGGCGGCACAACAAGAGGUUCCGACAGCCUGAAGCUCCAGCGUGAAGUGCCACGCGAGAGGAGGCGCAGGGGCGUGGGAGGCGGCACGAGUGGCGGUGGUGGACGGCGUUCAGCGGCGGCUUGCAGCAGGCAGGGAAAUCGACGUCCGACGACAUUGUGUUAGCUUUAUUUUGCAUCUAAAUUAUUUGGUGUAAUGAUUAAUUUAGAUCUGGUGGUUGAAAUGGAUGAUGGUUCAUUGAAAUAUUUUCGCAUAUUUCAUUUAUAGGAAUAUAUGGCGUGCAUGUUGUAUAUGUGUGCUCCCUCUUGUUCUGAGUGGUAACGCGUAUGUUAUAAGUUUCAAAAAAAAAAACAUGGGCUCAUGGGCUAUGGACAUAGGGCCAUGCAUCAUUUUUGCCAAGUCUACCAAAUCCACUUAUCCAUCUACCAUAUCCACUUCUCCCUCCAACCAAUAAUAAACUAAGCUUAUCCCAUCUACCAGAUCAAAUUUGGGUUUGUUUAGGGAGCUUUUAUUAGCUGCAACUUCUCACAGAAUCUCUAGUUUCCCCAAACAAUCCAGAUUGUUACCCAGAUUCUAAGUGUCUGCAUUUUUAGAAUCUAGAAUAUGAAUUAGAACCCAGAAGCCGGAAAACCCAGCUUCUCCAGAUUCUUAGAAAUUGGCUACCAACGAGUAGAUUCUCAUAAUUUUAAGCUCCCCAAAUAGGGAAAAAAAAACUGCAUGGCCAUAUCCUUACAAAUAUGGAUAGGCAUAUCCAUCCUUGACCACCAUCCCAACACAACCUAGGUAUAAUAUUUGUCUUGAGCUCGUCUUAUAGGAUGAGCUGAGCUGCUCUUUUGCAGUACUUUUUCCGUCUCAAAAUAAACUCAACAUAGAAUGAGAUGUGAUAUAUUCUAGUAUCACAAGUCUGGAUAUGUUCUAUUCUAUUUGGAUGCAAAUCCUUUGCAGUACUGCUAAUGCAGUAGCAGUGGCUGACAUGUGGGUCCGGGUCCACACGUCAGUAUCUGCUACUGCAUUUUUAGUACUGCAGACAAUCCCCAUUGAUCUUAUUUUGGUUUGAGUUACUUUAGAACAAAGGAAGUAGAUGAUAGGAGUAUGUUGCAAGGUAGUAGGAGUACACCAGGUUGGUUUGAUCACGUUUUCGCACGUGAGCUCGUUUGAGUCGUUUCACUUGGAUGACAGAUGGGCUCCCGACCAUGGGUCAUGAUGUGUCAGCCCUGAAGUUUUCUUGUGGGCUUUCGUAUUGUUUUGGGCCAGUCCCUAUGCCUCUAACUGCAAUGCGGGGCACGGUGUGCCUCUCCACUCCGGCAACAAAGGGGCGGUGUGGGUCGCCGGCCGGCAAAGAUCACCACCCACCAACCUACUCAGGCACACCCACCAAUGCCCGGUGACCACCCUGCGGCAAACGUAGACACGUAGUACUGGUAGAUGAGAAACAUUUGACAUCUUCGUAAUCACAUUUGCAGGUACUGGUUAUCAAGAAACGGAUUAAACACCACGCCCACAAAUACGAAAACAUCAAAUACAGUGUUCCCUUACAACGACAAGAGAUGAUAAC
Molecule: long non-coding RNA, 2057 nt
Filed under: Oryza sativa (Asian cultivated rice)
Lineage: Eukaryota; Viridiplantae; Streptophyta; Magnoliopsida; Poales; Poaceae
Description: long non-coding RNA (OSAT_LNC001969)
Source: RNAcentral